The submitters of this non-coding RNA (33 nucleotides) gave its source as unclassified sequences. The record is from Rfam.
AAUGGGGACGCCGAAAACCAUACAGAGUAGGCA